CACUACAAGAAAAGAGCCUCCACUCCGACAAUAAUUUCCGUGAAUGUUAGUCAUCGGAAACUUUGCUUCGCUGUUACUAGAAAUUACCGAGAAUCUAUCAAUUUUAUCGGCUACUUCUCGGAUAUUUCCGAGGAACAAUAUUUGUCGGAAUAUGGUUACAACGGGUUAUCGGAAUCUUGUUGGAACUAAAAAUAAUUCCCGAGAAUUUGUUUUUCAUCGGAAAAUUUGUUGGUACGCUCUCGGAGAUUACUGACAACAACAAAGUCUCAGAAACUUGUCGGAGAAUUUGACGGGAAAUCACCGGAAGAGUUGAAGUGGAUACGUGUCACCAUUGCAAUAGUUUCCGAGAAGUGAUCCGGUGCCGAUAAUUGCUCGGAGGAGAACGAUGGCUCUGUUCUGUACAUGGUCCAACAGAGUGUCUUUGUACGGCGAGGGAUGGGUGGUCCAACAGAGUGUCUUUUCCACUUUCUUAUUUCUUCUUCUCAACUAAUUUUCGGCAAGGUAGACGCCUGCGGUGGUUAGAUCCUCACGGCGUUUUGGUGGCAGAUCUGGCGUUCCAAGGAUUGAAGAUGACUUCUUCUUCGGGGAGGUGGUUAGGGCUUAUGUGUAUCCGGUUUGUUUUGGUUUUUAUAUCAGAUUUUGUUUUCUGUAAACCACUUUUCUCUGGUUAGGGUUGGUUUAGACAUUAAUGUAAUAUUAUUUUAAAAUGCUAUUUGUGUUUACUCA
Raphanus sativus (radish) is the source of this 726-nucleotide long non-coding RNA. RefSeq lists it as uncharacterized. The transcript has 2 exons. The record is from RefSeq and is a predicted model, not a curated record. Lineage: Eukaryota; Viridiplantae; Streptophyta; Magnoliopsida; Brassicales; Brassicaceae.